Molecule: ribosomal RNA, 253 nt
Filed under: uncultured bacterium
Lineage: Bacteria
Description: partial 16S ribosomal RNA
Rfam family: Bacterial small subunit ribosomal RNA
Source: RNAcentral
UACGUAGGGUGCAAGCGUUCAUCGGAAUUACUGGGCGUAAAGGGCUCGUAGGCGGCCCACUAAGUCGGAUGUGAAAUCCCCAGGCUUAACCUGGGAACUGCAUCCGAUACUGGAUGGCUUGAAUCCGGGAGAGGGAUGCAGAAUUCCAGGUGUAGCGGUGAAAUGCGUAGAUAUCUGGAGGAAUACCGGUGGCGAAGGCGGCAUCCUGGACCGGCAUUGACGCUGAGGAGCGAAAGCUAGGGGAGCAAACGGG